RNAcentral lists this ribosomal RNA (302 nucleotides) under uncultured bacterium. Its description in RNAcentral is "partial 16S ribosomal RNA". It matches the Rfam family "Bacterial small subunit ribosomal RNA", at positions 508 to 807 of the family's 1533-position model. The record is from RNAcentral.
GCAGUCGCCGCGGUAAUACGAAGGGUGCAAGCGUUAAUCGGAAUUACUGGGCGUAAAGCGUGCGUAGGCGGUGAGUUAAGUCUGCUGUGAAAUCCCCGGGCUCAACCUGGGAAUGGCAGUGGAUACUGGCUCGCUAGAGUGUGUCAGAGGAUGGUGGAAUUCCCGGUGUAGCGGUGAAAUGCGUAGAGAUCGGGAGGAACAUCAGUGGCGAAGGCGGCCAUCUGGGACAACACUGACGCUGAGGCACGAAAGCGUGGGGAGCAAACAGGAUUAGAUACCCCCGUAGUCCCUGUCUCUUAUAC